UAACCUCGAGAUUAUAAGGGGUGUGUGGGCUUGAAGUGACGUGUUUCCCAGCAAAGCCUGCACUAUAAAAGGAAGCACUAAGCAUGUAGUCAUUAGUGGGGAGUUUGCUAAGGACGAGAGUUCGAAUCUCUCCACCUCCAUUG
RNAcentral lists this transfer-messenger RNA (143 nucleotides) under Simkaniaceae bacterium. RNAcentral describes it as "partial transfer-messenger RNA". It matches the Rfam family "transfer-messenger RNA", at positions 227 to 374 of the family's 374-position model. From Rfam's summary of the family: Bacterial tmRNA, also known as 10Sa RNA or SsrA, is named for its dual tRNA and mRNA-like properties. Its role is to liberate the mRNA from a stalled ribosome. To accomplish this part of the tmRNA is used as a reading frame that ends in a translation stop signal. The record is from RNAcentral. Lineage: Bacteria; Pseudomonadati; Chlamydiota; Chlamydiia; Parachlamydiales; Simkaniaceae.